UUUCGGGAUCUUGAGAGCGGCGUACGGGUGCGGAACACGUGUGCAACCUGCCUUUAUCUGGGGGAUAGCCUUUCGAAAGGAAGAUUAAUACCCCAUAAUAUACUGAAUGGCAUCAUUCGGUAUUGAAAACUCCGGUGGAUAGAGAUGGGCACGCGCAAGAUUAGAUAGUUGGUGAGGUAACGGCUCACCAAGUCUACGAUCUUUAGGGGGCCUGAGAGGGUGAUCCCCCACACUGGUACUGAGACACGGACCAGACUCCUACGGGAGGCAGCAGUGAGGAAUAUUGGACAAUGGGUGAGAGCCUGAUCCAGCCAUCCCGCGUGAAGGACGACGGCCCUAUGGGUUGUAAACUUCUUUUGUAUAGGGAUAAACCUACCCUCGUGAGGGUAGCUGAAGGUACUAUACGAAUAAGCACCGGCUAACUCCGUGCCAGCAGCCGCGGUAAUACGGAGGGUGCAAGCGUUAUCCGGAUUUAUUGGGUUUAAAGGGUCCGUAGGCGGAUCUGUAAGUCAGUGGUGAAAUCUCACAGCUUAACUGUGAAACUGCCAUUGAUACUGCAGGUCUUGAGUGUUGUUGAAGUAGCUGGAAUAAGUAGUGUAGCGGUGAAAUGCAUAGAUAUUACUUAGAACACCAAUUGCGAAGGCAGGUUACUAAGCAACAACUGACGCUGAUGGACGAAAGCGUGGGGAGCGAACAGGAUUAGAUACCCUGGUAGUCCACGCCGUAAACGAUGCUAACUCGUUUUUGGAAUGUAAGUUUCAGAGACUAAGCGAAAGUGAUAAGUUAGCCACCUGGGGAGUACGAACGCAAGUUUGAAACUCAAAGGAAUUGACGGGGGCCCGCACAAGCGGUGGAUUAUGUGGUUUAAUUCGAUGAUACGCGAGGAACCUUACCAAGGCUUAAAUGGGAAAUGACAGGUUUAGAAAUAGACUUUUCUUCGGACAUUUUUCAAGGUGCUGCAUGGUUGUCGUCAGCUCGUGCCGUGAGGUGUUAGGUUAAGUCCUGCAACGAGCGCAACCCCUGUCACUAGUUGCCAUCAUUAAGUUGGGGACUCUAGUGAGACUGCCUACGCAAGUAGAGAGGAAGGUGGGGAUGACGUCAAAUCAUCACGGCCCUUACGCCUUGGGCCACACACGUAAUACAAUGGCCGGUACAGAGGGCAGCUACACUGCGAAGUGAUGCAAAUCUCGAAAGCCGGUCUCAGUUCGGAUUGGAGUCUGCAACUCGACUCUAUGAAGCUGGAAUCGCUAGUAAUCGCGCAUCAGCCAUGGCGCGGUGAAUACGUUCCCGGGCCUUGUACACACCGCCCGUCAAGCCAUGGAAGUCUGGGGUACCUGAAGUCGGGACCGUAACAGGA
Molecule: ribosomal RNA, 1357 nt
Filed under: Chryseobacterium sp.
Lineage: Bacteria; Pseudomonadati; Bacteroidota; Flavobacteriia; Flavobacteriales; Weeksellaceae
Description: bacterial SSU rRNA
Rfam family: Bacterial small subunit ribosomal RNA
Source: RNAcentral